Amborella trichopoda is the source of this 1243-nucleotide non-coding RNA. The record is from RefSeq and is a predicted model, not a curated record. Lineage: Eukaryota; Viridiplantae; Streptophyta; Magnoliopsida; Amborellales; Amborellaceae.
UAGUAGGAGCUGGGAGAGGCACUAGUGUCUGGCACGCCAAAUGGCUUGGGAAUUAUCCCUUGAAAUUACUUUAUCCUGACGUAUAUUCCAUAUCUAUUCAAAAACAAGACUUGCUAUCCAGUUUCAUUUCUGUAGAGGGAGGUCAGCCUUUUUGGAAUUUACUGCUCCAUAUGAAGAGUUAAUCAGGUGCGGCUGACAACUAUACUUCUCUGCUGUCCUCUUUGUACAACGUCUGUUAUUUGCCAAGAAAGCAUGAUAGGAUUAUCUGGUCUUUGGAACCAUGUGGCUCUUUGUCUGUGAAGUCGCUGUACGAAAUGCUUUUCAGGGAUCAUUACAUUCAAAGCCAUAACCACCUUGCCAAGUUUUGGAGAUGCAAAGCACCAAGCAAGGUGAAAUCAUUCUUGUGGCUGUGGGGAUGUGCCUACCAAGCGUGUGUUUGUUUUGUAAAAAUGCAGAUGAAUCAAUUGACCAACUCUUCCUGCAAUACACUUUUGCGGAAAGGAUUUGGGAUUGGCUGAGUGGUAUUUCGUGCUGGUUAACUCCCUGUCCCAAAGGUAUCUCUAACCCGCUGCAACAAAUUUGCACUCCCCCAUUCGCUUCCUUGGGUAUCGACUUGUGGAGAAUUGUUGUUGCUGAUGCGCUUUGGAGUCCGUUGAAAGAAAGGAAUUUGCGGACGUUUGAGGGUUGCAGCAAAGAUCUAUCUUUCCUUAUUGAUUCUAUUAAGAGAUCGUCUAUUAUCGUAUGUAAUCCGACCGGUUCUUCAAAAUCCCCGUUCAUUUUGAGGGGCAAAUGCGGUAGAUUGGAGUAAUAAAUGAUCAAAUCUGUAAAGGAGUGGACAGACGGUGGGGAUCCCAGUAAAUCUGUAAAGAAAUGGACAGACGUGUGGGGAUCCCAUUAAAUCUGUAAAGGACUGGACAGACGUGUGGGGAUCCCAUUAAAUUUGUAAACGAGUGGACAGAUGUGUGGAUGCGAGCGGGGGCGAUGAGGUGACACGGCCAACCGAUUCGGACCAUUCAUCGUGUGGCGAUCAUUACACAUCCCCUUCAACAUGGUCGGUUUUCAACUUUACCCAUUCCCCAUUAUUGCCCUGCAAAUCUGCUCUUCCGAUCCACACAACGCACCCUUUCCUUUCUCUGUUGCAAAAACUUAACAUUAUUUUUUGUUUUUUUUUUUUGGUUUUGUUUUUGUCUCACAGGGGGAGAUCCUGUACGUGUGAAAAUAACAGAAGAGGUCAUGCAUGCUU